CAGGUCUUGACAUCUGGCGAAUCCUGUAGAAAUACGGGAGUGCCUUUUAGGAGCGCCAAGACAGGUGGUGCAUGGUUGUCGUCAGCUCGUGUCGUGAGAUGUUGGGUUAAGUCCCGCAACGAGCGCAACCCCUGCUAUUAGUUGCUAACAUUAAGCUGAGCACUCUAAUGGGACUGCCUGUGACAAGCAGGAGGAAGGUGGGGACGACGUCAAAUCAUCAUGCCCUUUAUGAUCUGGGCUACACACGUGCUACAAUGGGUGGUACAGAGAGCAGCGAGACCGUGAGGUGGAGCGAAUCUCAAAAAGCCAUUCUCAGUUCGGAUUGAAGUCUGCAACUCGACUUCGUGAAGUCGGAAUCGCUAGUAAUCGCGAAUCAGCAUGUCGCGGUGAAUGCGUUCCC
RNAcentral lists this ribosomal RNA (400 nucleotides) under uncultured Syntrophomonas sp. RNAcentral's name for it is "bacterial SSU rRNA". It matches the Rfam family "Bacterial small subunit ribosomal RNA", at positions 975 to 1375 of the family's 1533-position model. The record is from RNAcentral. Lineage: Bacteria; Bacillati; Bacillota; Clostridia; Eubacteriales; Syntrophomonadaceae.